AUGGAGGUACCCAGUCAGGGUGCCAGGUGAUCCGUUACAAUGGUAUUUCCAGAUCCAUCACUGCCAGUAUCGUGAGUCUGAUAUGUGGGUAGAACAGCAGAAUUGGCAAUCACCUAUGUGAUUUUUUUUCUUUUUCUUUUGUUUUGUAGUGUCUAGUGAAAAGCUCUGCAUUUUUCUGUUUGGUGGAUUUGUGGACAGAAGUUCCUGGACUGGAAUGAAUGGAGAGGGAAACACAGCACCAGUGUUUUAUCAACCAAAUUCUAUUGCCCCAAAUAUUAACAACUAUAUUCUAGGGAGACUGUGAGAUCUAUAACAGUGGUUAUUGUGGCUUGAGUCCAUUGGCGCUGUCCCUCCAAUCUGUGUUUAAACCAUCCCAUCUCAUUGAAUUGAUUAUGGUGCCUGGAGUCUCCUAUGGCUGUCAUUCCAUUCAGUUUUAAAUUAUCCCUCUCAUUGAAGUGGUUAUAGUUCCUGGGUAUGGUGUGAUAUACACCUGUGGUGUAUGGUGGGUGUUACUUUGAAGGAGGAUGGUAGGUGUAUAAUAGAAGGGAGUUAUUUGCAGGAGGAGGACAGUAGGUGUAUAAUAAAGGGAGGAGGAGGACGGUAUGUGUAUAAUAGAGGGGAAUUAUUUGGAGGAGGAGGACAGUAGGUGUAUAAUAGAGGGGAGUUAUUUGGAGGAGGAGGACAGUAGGUGUAUAAUAGAGGGAAGAGGAGGACGGUAUAAUAGAGGGGGGAGGAGGAGGAUGAUAGGUGUUUAAUGGAGGGGAGUUAUUUAGAGGAGGAUGGUAGGUGUAGAAUAGAGAGGAGUUAUUUGGAGGAGGACGACGGUAGGUGUAUAAUAGAGGGGAGUGAUUUGGAGGAG
Pelobates cultripes (western spadefoot toad) is the source of this 859-nucleotide non-coding RNA. The record is from the annotation of a GenBank genome assembly. NCBI's taxonomy places the organism in Eukaryota, Metazoa, Chordata, Amphibia, Anura, Pelobatidae.